Aegilops tauschii subsp. strangulata is the source of this 294-nucleotide non-coding RNA. The record is from RefSeq and is a predicted model, not a curated record. Lineage: Eukaryota; Viridiplantae; Streptophyta; Magnoliopsida; Poales; Poaceae.
ACUGAACAUUGCAUUUCACCAAGUGAAAUGCUACAUUUCUACUCCUAACCCAUUCUCUCUUUCUUAGUGUUUUUGUUAUGCAGGUUGGAAGAAAAGAAGAAGAUCCAGAGAAGAUCUUAGUAAUAAGAUAGUUUUUAGGAAAAUAGAUAUUUAGUUUUAGGUCAUUUCUUGUAAUUUCAGAUAUGGAGUGCUUGUCUAUAGUUUUUGUUUUGACUCUGUGAAACUUGCUACCUAUGGAUGAAACUGUGUAAUAUUGAUGAAACUAUGUAUAUGUAUGGAUGAAACUUGCUACUA